RNAcentral lists this ribosomal RNA (1534 nucleotides) under Campylobacter jejuni. RNAcentral describes it as "partial 23S ribosomal RNA". It matches the Rfam family "Bacterial large subunit ribosomal RNA", at positions 1409 to 2925 of the family's 2925-position model. The record is from RNAcentral. Lineage: Bacteria; Pseudomonadati; Campylobacterota; Epsilonproteobacteria; Campylobacterales; Campylobacteraceae.
GGGUAGACGAUGGCAAAUUGGUUAAUAUUCCAAUACCAACAUUAGUGUGCGAUGGAAGGACGCUUAGGGCUAAGGGGGCUAGCGGAUGGAAGUGCUAGUCUAAGGUCGUAGGAGGUUGUACAGGCAAAUCCGUAUAACAAUACUCCGAGAACUGAAAGGCUUUUUGAAGUCUUCGGAUGGAUAGAAGAACCCCUGAUGCCGUCGAGCCAAGAAAAGUUUCUAAGUUUAGCUAAUGUUGCCCGUACCGUAAACCGACACAGGUGGGUGGGAUGAGUAUUCUAAGGCGCGUGGAAGAACUCUCUUUAAGGAACUCUGCAAAAUAGCACCGUAUCUUCGGUAUAAGGUGUGGUUAGCUUUGUAUUAGGAUUUACUCCGAAAGCAAGGAAACUUACAACAAAGAGUCCCUCCCGACUGUUUACCAAAAACACAGCACUCUGCUAACUCGUAAGAGGAUGUAUAGGGUGUGACGCCUGCCCGGUGCUCGAAGGUUAAUUGAUGGGGUUAGCAUUAGCGAAGCUCUUGAUCGAAGCCCGAGUAAACGGCGGCCGUAACUAUAACGGUCCUAAGGUAGCGAAAUUCCUUGUCGGUUAAAUACCGACCUGCAUGAAUGGCGUAACGAGAUGGGAGCUGUCUCAAAGAGGGAUCCAGUGAAAUUGUAGUGGAGGUGAAAAUUCCUCCUACCCGCGGCAAGACGGAAAGACCCCGUGGACCUUUACUACAGCUUGACACUGCUACUUGGAUAAGAAUGUGCAGGAUAGGUGGGAGGCUUUGAGUAUAUGACGCCAGUUGUAUAUGAGCCAUUGUUGAGAUACCACUCUUUCUUAUUUGGGUAGCUAACCAGCUUGAGUUAUCCUCAAGUGGGACAAUGUCUGGUGGGUAGUUUGACUGGGGCGGUCGCCUCCCAAAUAAUAACGGAGGCUUACAAAGGUUGGCUCAGAACGGUUGGAAAUCGUUCGUAGAGUAUAAAGGUAUAAGCCAGCUUAACUGCAAGACAUACAAGUCAAGCAGAGACGAAAGUCGGUCUUAGUGAUCCGGUGGUUCUGUGUGGAAGGGCCAUCGCUCAAAGGAUAAAAGGUACCCCGGGGAUAACAGGCUGAUCUCCCCCAAGAGCUCACAUCGACGGGGAGGUUUGGCACCUCGAUGUCGGCUCAUCGCAUCCUGGGGCUGGAGCAGGUCCCAAGGGUAUGGCUGUUCGCCAUUUAAAGCGGUACGCGAGCUGGGUUCAGAACGUCGUGAGACAGUUCGGUCCCUAUCUGCCGUGGGCGUAAGAAGAUUGAAGAGAUUUGACCCUAGUACGAGAGGACCGGGUUGAACAAACCACUGGUGUAGCUGUUGUUCUGCCAAGAGCAUCGCAGCGUAGCUAAGUUUGGAAAGGAUAAACGCUGAAAGCAUCUAAGCGUGAAGCCAACUCUAAGAUGAAUCUUCUCUAAGCUCUCUAGAAGACUACUAGUUUGAUAGGCUGGGUGUGUAAUGGAUGAAAGUCCUUUAGCUGACCAGUACUAAUAGAGCGUUUGGCUUAUCUUUAAUAAAGCAU